RNAcentral lists this transfer RNA (521 nucleotides) under Nostoc sp. 4G6. RNAcentral's name for it is "16S-23S ribosomal RNA intergenic spacer". The stretch from base 271 to 343 matches the Rfam family "tRNA". The record is from RNAcentral. Lineage: Bacteria; Bacillati; Cyanobacteriota; Cyanophyceae; Nostocales; Nostocaceae.
UAGGGAGACCUAAUCCACUCAAACAUCGAAAGCAAACAGCGAAUAGGUGAAGAGAUGGUCUACUCUAGGUCGGUCGCAGAUAUUGUUAAAGCUUUCAAACUAUGAUUUGGUUCGAAUAUGGGCUAUUAGCUCAGGUGGUUAGAGCGCACCCCUGAUAAGGGUGAGGUCCCUGGUUCGAGUCCAGGAUGGCCCACCUGAAAGUAACUUGUAAUUAGUAAUGCGUAAUUCGGAAUUAAGAAUUAAGAAUUAAGAAUUACAAAUUAUUGUGAUGGGGGUUUAGCUCAGUUGGUAGAGCGCCUGCUUUGCAAGCAGGAUGUCAGCGGUUCGAGUCCGCUAACCUCCACCUGUAGCGAGAAGCUAAAGAACAGAUGGAAAAAAGUCAGCACCUAACAAAAAGUAGUUAGACUGCUGGGGAUAUUCCAGCCAGAACCUUGAAAACUGCAUAGAAACGCGAUAGAUAGCAGGCAGACACAGACAUCCAAUGGAUGUUGAGUGAAAGCAGGUGGAAACCAAUGAAUUGU